CAGCAGCCGCGGUAAUACGAAGGGGGCUAGCGUUGCUCGGAAUGACUGGGCGUAAAGGGCGCGUAGGCGGUGAGUUAAGUCUGCUGUGAAAUCCCCGGGCUCAACCUGGGAAUGGCAGUGGAUACUGGCUCGCUAGAGUGUGUCAGAGGAUGGUGGAAUUCCCGGUGUAGCGGUGAAAUGCGUAGAGAUCGGGAGGAACAUCAGUGGCGAAGGCGGCCAUCUGGGACAACACUGACGCUGAGGCACGAAAGCGUGGGGAGCAAACAGGAUUAGAUACCCGAGUAGUCCCUGUCUCUUAUAC
Molecule: ribosomal RNA, 301 nt
Filed under: uncultured bacterium
Lineage: Bacteria
Description: partial 16S ribosomal RNA
Rfam family: Bacterial small subunit ribosomal RNA
Source: RNAcentral